Molecule: long non-coding RNA, 11909 nt
Organism: Gasterosteus aculeatus aculeatus (three-spined stickleback)
Lineage: Eukaryota; Metazoa; Chordata; Actinopteri; Perciformes; Gasterosteidae
Source: Ensembl
UAUAUCAACAAGUCCUGUUUCUGAGGUCUUGAUGUCCUCCAAAUCAAUGAGCGUGUAUCUUACCAUUUACUUUCACUCCUCCCUCUUCUCACCUAGAAUGGCUGACAGAUAUUUACUAAUGUUGUAUAGCAUGAUGAGGGUUACUGUAACAACACCUAAAAGGGGUCAUAUCCAAAAUGUCAAACUGUAUUCAAAAUGUCAAAUUCUGAAACACAAUCGGUUUGCAGCAAUGCUAUUUGUUAAGAGACGUCUUUCCUGGACAAAACAAGCAACUUAUGAGACAGAACUGAGACACAUGAGGAAAUGAGCAAAGUCUAUGAAGCAAAGGAUAGUUAAAACAACGCAGCAUGGUGAUUAAUGUGUGACAGUGGCAGCUCUUCAGAAGUUAAAUGAAAAUCCACUCGAAUAGGAAGAGAGCGGUACGUAGAAUUUAUCGUUCUCUGAAGAAUACUGAGAUUCUGUGGUAAUGCCUUCUGCAGGUUAGGGUUGGCCGACUGCGCAGGUUGUAAGCUCCUCCUUCUGGAUCCAACUCCCCAACCCGUUUUUUUCUACCAUGGCUGUUGAUGCCUUCUUCACACAAUGUCUCUCAUAUUUUUGCUCAGCUGAAAACCAAUAAAGAACCAAGCUUCCUUGACAUUUUGCAGCUUUACCGUUGUCAAUUCCGCCGUACAUUGUUUUCUAAUCCGUGACACAGAGCCUUGAUCAGGUACUUGUUGUUGAUGGUGCAAACCGAGGCCUUAAUCUGCUAGGGAGACAUCAAAUGGUGUCAUCCGUGGGUGGUGUUGAGUGGAUGCGAGACUGUCUGGUCGUGACUUUGUGUGCAAAGGAGGGGAUUAACUGAGAACGGAACUGAGAAGGAGAAAAGUAAAGACAGAGAGAGACUAGAUGAUGAUGAGCAGCCCUCUGAAGGAAUAAACACACAGUGACCACAUUCAAAAAAUGAGAUGCAGAACUCUCGCCCUCCGUUGUUCCAUAAUGCAUAAAAACAACAUUUGGACCCUGAGGCUGGAUCUAAACUCUAAAGAAUAUGCAUUUUUUUUAAACAUAAAGAAUUAAAAUGUGAUUGAUACAGCUAAACUAUUGAGUGAAAUGUUUUUAGAAAUAUUAAAAGUUUGUAUUAUAGGCCGCAUUGUUGGUCAGUUGGGUUUUCUUUUAAGGAAACUAUUUCUUAGUCAGGUAACUAAAUAAAUGAAUGAAUGGGCAUUACCAUACCCUUAGAAUAAAAAUAAUAAAAUAAUAAAAUUGAACUCGUAUAUAUUUGAUUCAAUAUUAUUCAAGGUCCUGUUGUGAUAAAGGCUAGAAUGUAGACCCUCUCUUAAAAUAAUGACAUAAGACAAUCUAUUAUAUCGCUCCAUUAUAAUGUAAAAUAAUCAACUUUAGCUAAAUCUUCCUUCUUCUUACCAGAUUUCUGGCCACUUUUGUUUAACAAAAGCUACACCAAUUAAUAAAAAAACAAUGCUUUAAUUUUCUCUCCAUUUCUGUGACGGAUCAAUGGAGCUGGGCUGUUUCCCACUAGAUCGUUUGUCACUGCCACGUCAUUUUUCCAGUGCUUACUCCAGAGACAAAGAAUAUGGCAUCAGAUCCGGUAAUCCAUCACAAGAUCUAAAAAAAGGCCCUGCAUUAGGAUUAUUUCCGCACCUUAUAAUUCAUGGCUGUGGCGCGUGCUGUGCAUCAUAACUGAUCUAUGAUGAAAUUCGUUGCCAUCCAGUUUUAAAUUCCAUUUAAACUAAUUUUUCAAUUAGAUUGCAGAUCUACUCCACAUGUCUGGGUACAAAUUCAUUCAGGGUGAGUGAGGGAGAAGAAACACACUGCCUGCGUCUUUUGGAAAAAGCAGUGCAUUAGUAGCAGCUAUUAUAUCUGGAGCUGUGUUUUCAUCGUUCGCCCAUUAUGCGCCACCAUGCCAAGUGGAAGUGAGAUUAGACUGCAGAUUAGUCGGACUCCAUUAUAUCAUGUCCCAAAUGAUUAUGAAAUCAAUGGUCCAACCUAAGAGCGUGAUUUUAAUUUCAAUGUUGGCAAAGUCCACAUAGUUUUCAAACAACAAAAGUGAUUUAUUCACAAUGAUACAGUAGUCGGGUGUAAUACACAGCAUGCGUGUAACCCUUUGGUCCUCAUCCUUCACUUUUUUUUUUUUCAUUAUUUUAAUUUGAAAAAAAAGUCACAGCACAUUGUGAGACCUCUGAGCCACACUGCGAAAGCAAUAUUGAAGCUCUUUGUGCAAUAUUAAAUAAAACCAUAUUAAAGAGCCACACAGUUUCCAAGAGACAUUUUCCUAUCAUUAUAAUAAACAUGGUCAGUCUUUCAACCGGCCAAAAAUGGCGUCUUCCGCUACCAGCCGUCAUCUGUGAUACGUUUUAAAACCAAUCAGACAACUGAGCAACAGCGAUAACUGCUGUGCGGCGGCGCACAUUGUUUGUGACUAAACAUGUCUUUGUCACAUACGCGCGAGGAGGAGAGAUCUUUGCAGAUGCUUUAGGGGUCAUUUGGGAGGAGGGGGGGGGGGGUUUGAUGAAUCGAAUUAUUGGGAGGACAUUUUUAAAUAACACCUUCAGUCCAAGCACAUCUCAUCCGAAUGCACCGUGGAGAUUAAAAGAGACAGGGUGCGAAGCACAGGGAAAGUGCCCGGAAGAAUAGAAGGAGAACAUUUUUCAAACUGCUCUUUCCCUCAGGACAAGGCCGUGAGGAGGACAGAGACAAAGCAAAACGAGUGGAGAAAUCACAAUAAGAAAUGAUAAUACACACCGAAAUUAAUUAAAUGAUGUUGAGUCUGAUUUUAUCUGACGGAGAGGUAAUUUGUCUCUCUUUGGCUGCCUGCGGACUUUAGCUUUUUGUGUGUGUGCUGGAUUUGUAAUUGCUUCGCGCCUGAGGGGCUCUGCGUCGUAUGUGACUGUAAUGUGAGCAUUUUUGAUUUUGCACAUAUUUUCUGAGGUAUUUCCUACGACGUGGGAUGUGUUAUCUGAUUAACAGAAGUAAAGGACGUCCAAUGAAAUCACAGCUACACCACCUGGCAGAUUAUGAAACAAUAUAUUGUGCUUUGCAAGUGUUUGUUAUUGCUUCCUAUAAUGUGUUCCUAUCAAUACAACAUUUGAAAUUUGACACGUGAGGGAUGUUUGUCACCCAGAGCAGUUAAAUAAAACAAACAACGAAUAUGCAAAUUCCCAAAUUAUAAAAUGAAAGCUUUCUCCUCCGACGAUGGCAGUAAAUUAAACUCACCAAAGCUCUUCCAUUAGUUCACCCUUUGCAGACUGAACCCCUUGGCCUUUGGUCACGGGAACAUGACAUCACAUCUAUAUAUGACCAAACCUCUGCUAUUUCGAGACAUCUCAAUGUAUGUCAAUGACCGUGUAUGACAAGCAUUUUUCUAAAAUAUAUCAGUAUUUGCAUUAACAAUGUUUGCACGAUAAGUGCAAGGCCUUUACGUGGUAUUAACUGUCUCGUCCUGAGGGAUGUUCAAGCAACAAAGCUAAUUGUUCUUCAUUAUUGUCUCACGCUUACCCUCUUUUCGGAGGAUGGUCUCUAGAAAGAUAUCCAGGGUAAAAGAAGGAUAUGUAAUAAAGAUGUAACUUUUGCCAUAUGCUGAGUGAGUGUUACUCGUGUAAAAAUUGAGAUGUGCUUUUUUGAGUGUGAAAGGACACAAUUAUCCUUCUUGUAAGGCAACAAAGCACUGUCAUCAAGCCAUUAUGUUACACAUGAAUGGAGCAGCAUAAUUGCAAUGGAGAGUUGACUUUAACAAUGACGCCUUCUCGCUUAGGACUGCUGCUUAAUUAAAAUGCAGCGUUGCCUGCAAUUAGUCUCAUUCAUCACUCUGUUCACAUGUUAAUAGUAUAUUCUAUGAGUGGAAGUCAUUUAGGAUCCUACUUCAUUGCCUUUGACUUUGUAUACACGUGGAAAUGCUAGUUUUCCGUAGUGAACUGUGACAUCACUUAGAUGAUGCUCUCACAUACAAUCCCACAUCACAAUACGGCCACUGUUCAAAUCUGGAUGGACUGUUCAUGCUGGGCUGUGUUUUUUUAACAAUAAUGUAACUCAUCUAAUUAAUACUAAAGGCUUUGAAAUGAAGGCAAUCAAAGGCAACCUAAGUAAGACUAGUGUAUAUAAACCACGGUGAUGGUAAUGUUUAUUUAUUAGUGUAUUACGUAUAAUUUUCUACAUUCUAUAUUUAUCAUUGUCAUUAAAUUAUUAGUAGCUUAAGAAUGCAUUAUGAUUAUUUAAUUAAGUUUACUAGUCUCAAAUUGCUAAAUUGUUAUUUGGCUUUUUUCAGUUAUUUUUACAGUCCACAACAUGUCAGUCCUCUGGAAAGCACUUUUAUCUGCACGAUUGUAUGAAAGGUGGCCACUGCCACACACCUGCAAGCGCAGCAUCUCCUUCUGAGUCACAGACUAAUGGGGCAGUCACAGCAUAAUUCCCCAGCUCCCACAAAACAUCCUGAUUAUCGCUUUUCCUUUUCCCUCCUGCACCAUUAAACUUGCACCCAUAGGCACAAUGCGAAGGCAAAAAACUAAAAAACAUAAAUGGCUUACCUGUAAUGACUGUAUGUCACAUGUAAUUAGUUCACUUCUGUCCAAUUUAGCCCGUUUGUGUGAGGAAAAAACGUGGAGGAGGUGGUUUGUCACCACUAAUGCUCUUGUUGAGUUUUAUCUGUUUUACAGUUAAAACUUGUAAAAUCAAUUUGCAGUGUGACAUGCAGGGUGAACAUCGCCUGUAUGACACAAAAAAACCUUAUUUGAAAGUGUUUAUUUACCUUGCAUCCCUCUAAUUCGAUCAAUGCAGCACUGUGAGAUUGGUUGCGUCUGAUCUUGAAGUGGGCCGGCCAAGUCAUUUUCAAGCUACUUUUAGGGCUGAGACAAACAUCAGCUUUUAUUACUUCCAUGCGAGGGAAAUAGGCAAUAAUCAUUGACCUGGCUGUACUGAGGGAAUGUGUGGCUGAACAGUGAUGUCUAUUGGGGUCAACCAAAUGUUGCAGAAGCACAAGCAGCUCAUGUCUUAUAUUUCUAUUGGGUGAGUGGUAAAUGUGAGUUCUCAUAUACGUCUCUCAUCUGAGUGUUAUAUUUUUUGACACUAUAAACCUUUUCAGGGAACACGAGGAGCAGCAAAGAGCAUUUCUAGAAAUUAUAUUACAUUACAUUACAGGUCAUUUAGCAGACGCUUUUAUCCAAAGCGACUUACAUUACACUUUAAACCCAUGGCUUUUUCACAUUUUUGCCUGGGGAGCAAUUAGGGGUUAGGAGUCUUGCUCAGGGACACUUCGACAUAGAACAUGGGGCAGCCUGGACUCGAACCACCAACCUUGUGCUUCCCAGCACACCUUCUCUAACGCCUGCGCCACGACGACCCAAAUAUCAAGAGGGCACUUAAAGCAAAUGACAUCUAGGCCGCUGAAUGUAUGUUUUAUUUCCAAAGUGCUGAUAUGAGGGAGGCAUCUCAAACAUGGACUUGAGAUAUUGAAAACUUCACUACUACAAAACUAUUCUGUACCUGAAGAUUCAAGUAGUCAUCUCAGUGUGUAUUUCCCUAUUGGAACAAGUGAUAAAUGCUGAGCGGCUCAUAUUCAGCAGUAAUCAGAUGAAUUGUAUCAUCACAAGCAGUAUGCAAAUGUGAAAAAGACAUAUUAAUCUUAAUUUGUGUAUUGUCAAACUACUUAGUGAAAUGCUGCACAGUUUUCGAUCUUCCCAUGCCUGAAUAUCAAUAUUUGAACACAGCUUAAAUUAAGUAGCUUGUGCAAAUCUUUCAUAACCGCUUUUUAUAAUGUGUCAAAUGAACCAUUAAACUAAAACGGAUUUGGGACGGUUUCAUUUAUGCAAUGAAACUACUUAAACAUUCAGUGUCCUGAUGUUAAUUGUGCUAGUUGUAUACUUUUCCUGUCAGGUAAUUUCUAGAACAUUACUAUAUUACAGACUGCAUGUUCUUUUCAACAACAGCAAAACAUUGUUGGUGAAUAAAGUAGCCCAAAACAAUUGUAGCAAUUGUAAAAGUACUGUUACUUUGCAAAAAAGACCUCAAGUACAAGUAGUCACCAAGAAGUUAGUGAGUUAAUCAACCCCAAGUAUUUCAUUUGAUGUGAAAAUGAAUCUAGUUCAGCCACAGGUGGUUUUUCACAGGUGGAGGAUCGUGUGGGCGUGUUUGCCAGCAGACCUGGGACCAGCAGACCACUUUUUAACAGAUCACGAUUGCAUAAAAUAAGAAUGGAGUAAAAGCAAGUGGGGCCACGAAUGUAACGUAGUAAAAGCAUUGAUUUUUCUGCAAAUACCGCAAAAUAUGCUGCAUUAAAUCUACUCUCACAAUUUACUCAAAGGUAAGUUUUAAAACUCCGGUCAUGUGCAUUUCUUGACCUUGAAUCCCAAUAAAACUCCCAAUCACAUCAUGUUUGGUCAAUGAGGUUAAAGAACGGUGCAGAUUUCACUUAUGGACAGGGCUGUAAAUUAGGUAGGAGAUAUCAUGAAGUGAGCCGUGUGGCUAAUGGACUAAAGCACAGAGAAGAACACCAGGACACAAUUUAUUCCAUCUCAGCUGACUGCAAAUGACACCACAGGGAUUCUGCAAUGUUUUUUUUGUAUUUAGAAAUAACUUCAAAAGCUGCAUUGGUUGAAACACUGCAGGUUUGAUGUAGAUAAAGAUGCAUUUCAAGACGUCUUGAUUACCUCUGUUAAAAUUCCUUUAUUGCUUUGCAUCCUGUGUAUUCGUUUACCAGGAAAUGUUUUCAGUGAUACUCCUUCCUGUGAUUUAGGCAUUUCAAAGAGAAGACGAUCAAGAGAAACUGGGUCUCAAUUAGCUGGUAGCAAUUUCUACAAUUUCUUCUUCUUUAUAGCCCAAAUCAAAUCUGGAAAAUAACACCACUUGGAAUUUUUCUCUGUUUUACGUUACAUAACGUGAAGAGUUUCAUAGCUUGCUGGUUCAAAGUUAUUACACUAAGUUGAUUAAACACUCGUCAAAAAUAGAUAUUUUUAGUAAUGGACAUUUCUUUUUAACAAAUGUAACCUUCACCUUCGGGUUACCAUUACAGAGCCUUUAUUAACGAUUGCUGCGAUCCCAUUCAAAUUAUAAUGUGCUCAAAUUGUGGCGGCCAUCUGGAAAUCUAGUUGAAUUUGUAUGUGCGAUGAUGAAUCCUAAAUAAAUGCGGCCAUGCUUCUCAGCGCUUAUUGUAGAUGUCAUGCAAAUACUGUCAGCAACAGUGUCAGCGUACAUUUAUUGUGUCCGCAUAAUAAGACACCAGGUUCACUGAUUUCAGGCAUUAUUUAUUACAGCGUUGUCUACAUGUUGUCUGUUAGGAUGCGCUGUGUGUGCGUAUCUGAAGAGAUAAUAGCCUCCAGAGGCAGACAUUCUGUAAAGAGGAUUCAAUAUGCCUCUCCAUAAUGACAGCUCCCAAGGGGGAUCACAACACUGCUAAAUGGGCUUUGUACAGUCCAUUCAAUCAGUGUUUGCCAACACGCUGGGAUUUGGAAGCAGCCGCCCUGAACACUGGCUCUCUGAGAAGAAGAGAUAGCGAUGCCAAACCAGUGAGAGCAAUAUCAGGCAGAACUCAUCUCGUUAAGCGGUGGAUACUUUCAGUGUGAUCCAAGGUGACACAGCAUAGGUUUUCUGGUAAGUGUCCGUGCAGUCAAAUACUACAUUCAAGCCUAAUAAGCGUCCUUUCGGAGGGUUGGUUCAAAUGUGUUAGAUUAAUUGUAAGGGUUGAAGAUAUUAUUUAAGGGGACGGCAGUCCGAGCUUAACGAGAGUCCUCAAAGAGUCCCUACAGGAAAAGACGAAAUCUCAACCAGGAAUCUGUUCUGUUAUUCUGAUUUCAAAAUAAAUGUUCAUUUCAAUCAGUUUAAAGCAGCCUCAAUAACAGUGUCAGUUACUAACAGUGGCUAAUUGAUGGUCCUGCCGUGGUGCUCAUUGGCUCAUUUACUUUCGAGAAAGAAAGUACUUUUUCACGUCACAAUGCCAGGUGAUCCUUCAACUCAAUCGCGACAGAGCAGGCACAUUCAAAAGUCUGCACGCAGGAAAAGGUCAAUUCUUCUGUGUUAUGUAACAACGUAACAUCACGUGUAACCGCAUCACAUGAUAGGAUGGGAUGUCCAAAUAAACAAUCUGCUCUGAAGAAACCCCCACAGCGUGUCUGGUCUGCCUUGAAAGUUGCAGAGGUUAGUUGCUGGUGCAAUCGGAUCACUAACCUGGGAUGAGACAGCAAAAUGUGUAGCAUGAAGGACCAGGGGAAGCAUGACACCCAAUGGAAUUCUGUGGAGAAAAAUGCCUUCUUUCUGGAGUUUUAACUCGCAAGCCAAUUUUAAAACCUUCUUGUUUUUACCAUGACAUAUUCAAUAUAGCUGCAUAUAGGAACGCAUACACAGUUUUAGGGUUUUGCUGUACCGUGGAGGUGUUGUGGUGAAGAUUGACGCACUGUCAAAUACAGGCUUCACUUUUUAUUUGCAGAGAAGAAUCAAUCGAUUCACCUUAAGUCAUUUAAGCUCAUUUACAUUCAACUGUGCCCGUCAUCCCUCAUAUCAGGUAGAAAUCUAUACACUUUGUCAAGGGGGGUUGGCGUGCGAGAGUGAGACCAGAGGCAGUGACGGAUUGUUUUGAUCACAGUCUAUUACCAUCUUAAGGCGAGUGAUUUGACUUUGCAUGGGGCAGUUGGCUCCAGGAUGCCGAUCUCGUCAUUGGAUUUCCUAUGAUAAUGCCAUAAAAUGUCAUCGGCUGGAGAAGAGACGCAUCUAUCAUGCACAGGCACAGUGUCAGGAGUAAUGACACUUCAUUAUUGGCGCUCCGGUGUGAUUACUCUGCGAUUGUACAAGUUUGUCUGUGUGAGAGGCUUUUAAUGUGUAAGAAGAUUGGCUGAAGAAUAGAGGUUGCAAUGAGGAGAGUGGAGCUACUGUCCCGUCUGACUCCUCGCUCCCUUUAACCUAAAGGCGUAAUCUGUUGAGAUGGUGAGAGAUGUCUGCUGCCUCGACUUGUCUGGGCAGCAUGAAGACGUCCUGCUGCAACCAAAGGCUACACAACACCCCCAUGUGUCUGCCAGAACUACUGAAGAACGGGCUGACAUUUGAAGUCCGGCGGAAUGAAGGACCCUCCAAACUAUAAGAGCUAAAUUGUAAGUAACAACUAAUUGGAAAUAUUUUCUGAUGCUGUGAUUGCAAAGCAAAGCCCUUUACCGAUUCAUGUUAAUACCGCACUAGAAAAUAAGCACAAUCCAUUGUUAAAUAUUGACUGAUUUUUAUUCAUAUUGAAUUAAAAAUAUAGUUUUGACAGAUUCAUGUAACAAAACAGAGGGAAUACGUAUUUAAAUGUUCUUGCUUGGGAAAUGUAUCAAUUAACCAGCUAAGAGAAUAUUUUAAAAAUGGUAAUAUGUGACGAGGUAUGGUCUAUAAAACUUUGUUCUCAAUCAUUCUUAUACAACGCAAUGAUAAUUUACAAUACAUUUUUAUGUUAGAAUAUUGGUUCUAACAAACUUUAAUGUACUUUUCGGACAAAUGCACUGACUUUUGAGAAGCUUGCCAAACUGACUACUUUACCAAAUGUAUUUGGAAAUGAUGCAUAUUGUAAAUAACAGGAUUGGUGCCGAAAUGAUCCGUGCAAAUGACCAUAAACUGUCCAAUGGUAAAUGUACAUUGGGUUCAUAGUAUUCUGUUGGUGAUAAGCCAUAUACAAAAAUGAUGACAAAAAAACGAUCAAAAGUUGUUGCUGGUUAAAAUCUUAACUAUUGAAAUCGAAAUUGUGGUAUUCGUCUUCAGUAAAGUGAGAACAGGACAAAACCUUUUGUUCAUAAACAAAGCGGGUUAGGCAUGAGUCUUCUACAAUUGAGAUAUCAAUUACAAUAUUCCAAUUAAGAAUCUAUAAAACCCUGACAGGUUUAGAUUGUAAAUUUAACAAACCAUGCCGCCUCAGUCAAUCAGCAUCCGCAUUGUGACAAACUGCUUGAUGAGGACACACAAAGAUCAUUUCUGUGUCAGUCCUCGCAACAGAUAUUAGGUAAGGUGACAGAAAAAAAGUUAAUGUACAAACGUCUUUACAAGCAAAUAUCAGUAAUUCACACGAUCAAUCCAGCCCAUGCAAAACUGUUUGCACUUUGUCCCUCAAACACCAUUAAAUCCCUCUGGGGCUGUAACACGAUAUUGCUACUCCUCUCAAUGAGUAUUGCCUCAAAUGGAUGAAGAGCUGAAUAUCAUCUGAGAGUAAACAGUGACUGAGCUCAGUGCAAAUGGAAACUAUUCAAACUACUCGAGGAAAUAUAGUAUAGGCCCUCAAAACACAGGGUGUAAAGUGACACUGGUAGAUUAAUAACAUUGGUUAAGAAAGGCUGUAAGAAAAAAGGGGGAUGAAAUAUUGAAUAUUCAUUAGUAUUGCAACAGCAUUUUAAGAGUGUACAAAAUCUUUCAAAAAAUCUCAAGAGAUGGAUAAUACUGUGAGAAAAGUGGAGAGAAGGGGAGGUACACUACACCCAGAAAAUGAAAAAAACACUCCUACAAAAUGAGCAAGAGCAGAGGUCAGAACACAAAGUCACAAAACUGUGCUGAAAACACAUCACAAGGAAAAUGAUGAGGCAAGGUGACAAGAGACCCUGCAAGCCUUUUUCAUUCUUCAAAUUACAUUUACAAAAUAUAUAUAUACAUAUAUGUAUAUAUAUGUAUAUGCGUGUAUGUAUAUAUCUGUAUAUGUACAUACACACACACAUAUAUAUCUAUAUAUUACUGUAUAUUUGCUGAAUAUAUACAUAUUUAUAUACAUACAGAGACAGACAAAGAUAUUCCCUUCAAACAUGUAUAAACAUACAGUGGAGCACUACGAUUGCAAUGAUGCAAAAAGAAAUAAAAACAAACGAAAAAAAUAUCCUCAGCUGGAAAAAGAAGCAUCUCUCGCUCUUAUUUACAGAUGUACCUAGCCUCCCUUUACCCACCUAUAAAAAUACUUUCACCUUCAUUUCAUUUAUUUUUUUACUGACAAUGGUAAAACUGUCCUAUUAUCUGAACAGCUUUGUCUUUUGGUUACAGUUUUACCAUAAAUUCAUUAUAUUGUAAACUGUGCUUACUCAACCGCCGUCACCUACGUCAGUUUUUAUGGCAAGGUGAAACAUAUGCACACAACUCAUGGUGAAAUCAGAGUAUGAUUCCUAUUAUUUAUUAUUAUUAAGUUUAAUUGUUAUUACAAAUGUUGAACUUGUGUUUGUCUGCUGCAUGAUGGUCCUUUAAAAACAUGUGAUUUGCUUAAUGAUGUAUUGACCAAAACUAUUGAUAUCAAUGCUGUGAAAAAGUUCCUCGUGAUAUAAAUAAUGAAAGCAUACAAACAUGAAAUAGAGCACAUUCUAUAAAUGCAAUAACUGUGUCCCAGUUCAGGAGCUGGACCUUCUUAGUCCUCAUUUCUGGGUCAGAUGCAACUUAAAAGUCCAUCAAGGGAUUGUACCAUCCAAAGGCCCCAUAAAAUGGGACUAAGCAUGAAGUUUGUCUUUGCUUUGGAGGACACAACUGGUUCAUCAUCUGGAGUCCUCAAAAUCCCACAAUUGAGUUUUUAAACCUUCCUGGUCAGGAACACCUCGCCAACUUGUAAAGCUCGUAGUUUAUGCUAAUCAGAUAUAAAUCAAAUCACAUAAACUGGUCUAGAUAAUGAAGAAUAAAGAUGAAGUCUGUUGUUUAAUCUAGUUUGCAGCAUUAACAUGUUAAUUCCAAGGGGUUAUAAAUCGAAGAUUCUUGAAAAUUAUAACGGUUAAACUCGUCCAACUCGCCACUUGUCCUCAUACGUUGAUGUGAAAUAUCAAAUCCUUCAGUCAGGAUUUAGGAAACCUCUCCCCUUCCAAACCAUUUAUAAAUGGUAUUUAAAUGUCGUAGGCGGUUUGAAGGCAAUGCUUGGUACAAAACCUGCAGACGCUUAAAGUUGACGAGGAGCACCUGAACGUCUCGUUUGGCAAUGAUGUGCAGAUUAAGUCUGUACUUCUGUACGUCUG